GAUCCCAGGAUAGGGGGCUGCCAUGGGAGUCAGGGAUUUGCACCCCAAAUUUCAGGUGGUAUCUGAGCUCUGUGUGUCCUUCCUACCCACCUCUCAGGCGCUACUUACAUCUGAUAAACUCAAGUGGUGGACAGAACAGAGAGGGCCUUCUCCAAGGUGACUUGCUAAGUCCUCCCCUAACGACGAAACAGAGAAGCUUCCUGCCCCUGUUACACAUGGCCUCCUCCCGGGCCCAGCAGCUCACCUGGACCACGGAAAGCACAGAAAGAACUGGCUGAAUGAAUCAAGAGAUCAAGUGCUCUCCCUGAGGCCCUGUAACAGCUCUGCAUCUGACUGCCCAGAAGGAAGCAGAAGUGAGUGACAAGUUGGGGGAACCAGAGCUUGCACACCAUAGGCCUGAACACUAGCCUCUGGGGAAAGGCAAGUCCAUCUGACCUUGGUGAAGUUAGGACCCGGGCCGAGGCCACCUCUUCGGGUUCACCCUCUGCUGGCCUCCCAGCUUCUUUGGCUCAGCAACACCCAGGAUUCCAGGCAUGUUUGCCUCUGGCCUUCUAAAAAUACCCAGGCCACCCAGCACCUCCCAGAUGUCUGAGCGCUGAGUCUGUGAUUUCCCUGCCGGUAAUGGGACAGCCCCG
RNAcentral lists this long non-coding RNA (635 nucleotides) under Pan troglodytes (chimpanzee). Its description in RNAcentral is "long non-coding RNA NONPTRT003143". Lineage: Eukaryota; Metazoa; Chordata; Mammalia; Primates; Hominidae. The record is from RNAcentral.